This 378-nucleotide ribosomal RNA is filed under the name uncultured eukaryote. Its description in RNAcentral is "partial 18S ribosomal RNA". It matches the Rfam family "Eukaryotic small subunit ribosomal RNA", at positions 592 to 975 of the family's 1831-position model. The record is from RNAcentral.
CAAUAGCGUAUAUUUAAGUUGUUGCAGUUAAAAAGCUCGUAGUUGGAUUUCGGAUGGGACUUGCCGGUCCGUCGUUUCGAUGUGCACUGGCCAGUCCUAUCUUGUUGUCGGGGACUAGCUCCUGGGCUUCACUGUCCGGGACUAGGAGCUGACGAGGUUACUUUGAGUAAAUUAGAGUGUUCAAAGCAAGCCUACGCUCUGAAUACAUUAGCAUGGAAUAACACGAUAGGACUCUGGCUUAUCUUGUUGGUCUGUGAGACCAGAGUAAUGAUUAAGAGGGACAGUCGGGGGCAUUCGUAUUUCAUUGUCAGAGGUGAAAUUCUUGGAUUUAUGAAAGACGAACUUCUGCGAAAGCAUUUGUCAAGGAUGUUUUCAUCA